GGAUUAGAUACCCUGGUAGUCCAUGCCGUAAACGGUGGGCGCUAGGUGUGGGGACCUUCCACGGUUCCUGCGCCGUAGCUAACGCAUUAAGCGCCCCGCCUGGGGAGUACGGCCGCAAGGCUAAAACUCAAAGGAAUUGACGGGGGCCCGCACAAGCGGCGGAGCAUGUGGAUUAAUUCGAUGCAACGCGAAGAACCUUACCUGGGCUUGACAUACACCGGACCGGACUAGAGAUAGUCCUUCCCUUGUGGCUGGUGUACAGGUGGUGCAUGGUUGUCGUCAGCUCGUGUUG
This 292-nucleotide ribosomal RNA is filed under the name uncultured bacterium. RNAcentral's name for it is "partial 16S ribosomal RNA". It matches the Rfam family "Bacterial small subunit ribosomal RNA", at positions 775 to 1067 of the family's 1533-position model. The record is from RNAcentral.